Molecule: ribosomal RNA, 343 nt
Filed under: Rhacophorus lateralis (small tree frog)
Lineage: Eukaryota; Metazoa; Chordata; Amphibia; Anura; Rhacophoridae
Description: partial 12S ribosomal RNA
Rfam family: Bacterial small subunit ribosomal RNA
Source: RNAcentral
ACCCAAGGACUUGACGGUGUCCCACCCAUACUAGAGGAGCCUGUUCUAUAAUCGAUGAUCCACGAUAUACCUAACCACCCCUAGCCAAUCAGCCUGUAUACCUCCGUCGCAAGCUUACCGUAUGAACGUACCACAGUAGGCUCAAUGGCCUUAACGCCACCACGUCAGGUCAAGGUGCAGCUAAUGGGCUGGAAGCGAUGGGCUACAAUUUCUAAUCUAGAACAAACGAAAUACUACAUGAAACAUAGUCAUGAAGGAGGAUUUAGUAGUAAGUAGGAAAUAGAGAGUCCUACUAAAACUGGCUCUGGGACGUGUACAAACCGCCCGUCACCCUCUUCGAUAG